AGGAUCAACGCUGGCGGCGUGCCUAAUGCAUGCAAGUCGAACGUGCGGUCUUCGGGCCGAGGCGUGGCGGACGGGUGAGGAACGCGUGGGCAAUCUGCCCUACAGGUGGGGGGUAGCCUUCGGAAACGGAGGGUAAUUCCGCAUGUGCUCGACCGCCGGCGGGGUGGUUGAGGAAAGGCUUCGCGAGGAGUCGCCUGAGGAGGAGCCUGCGGCCGAUUAGCUAGUUGGAGGGUAACGGCCCACCAAGGCGAUGAUCGGUAGCUGGUCUGAGAGGACGGCCAGCCACAUGGGGACUGAGACACGGCCCCAACUCCUACGGGAGGCAGCAGCAAGGAAUUUUCCGCAAUGGGCGAAAGCCUGACGGAGCAACGCCGCGUGUGGGAUGACGCCUUUCGGGGUGUAAACCACUUUUCUUGGGGACGACGAGCGACGGUACCCGAGGAAGAAGGACCGGCUAACUACGCGCCAGCAGCCGC
RNAcentral lists this ribosomal RNA (476 nucleotides) under uncultured bacterium. RNAcentral's name for it is "SSU rRNA". It matches the Rfam family "Bacterial small subunit ribosomal RNA", at positions 26 to 518 of the family's 1533-position model. The record is from RNAcentral.